AACGAACGCUGGCGGCAUGCCUAACACAUGCAAGUCGAACGAUACCGGCUGGUCUUGGUGCGAACGGGUUGGUAAGGGGAGGGAAGCUUCCCGUAGGUUCGGUAUAACUUCCCGCAAGGGGUGCUAAUACCGGAUAAUGUCUUCUGACCAACGAUUUAUCGCCUUUGGAUGGGUCCGCGUUAGAUUAGCUACUUGGUAACGUAAAAGCCUACCGAGGCUACACUACAUAGCUGGUCUGGGAGGAUGACCCGACACCCUGGGACUGUGACCGGGACCAGACGCCUACGGAAGGCAGCAAUGGGGAAUAUUGGACGACGCGCGAGAGCAUGAUCCAUUCGUGCCGUGUGAGUGAUGAAGUCCUUAAGAUCGUAAAGCUCUGUUAACAGGGAUGCUAAUGACGGUACCGACCCAAUAAGCUCCGGCUAACUCCGUG
This 433-nucleotide ribosomal RNA is filed under the name uncultured bacterium. RNAcentral describes it as "partial 16S ribosomal RNA". It matches the Rfam family "Bacterial small subunit ribosomal RNA", at positions 29 to 507 of the family's 1533-position model. The record is from RNAcentral.